Molecule: ribosomal RNA, 300 nt
Filed under: Triticum aestivum (bread wheat)
Lineage: Eukaryota; Viridiplantae; Streptophyta; Magnoliopsida; Poales; Poaceae
Description: partial small subunit ribosomal RNA
Source: RNAcentral
AUGUACAAGUGGCCACCAUAUCAUGUUUGGCUGGGUUACAGUCACAAGUAUUUCAAGGGUAAUCAAGUUGAUAAGCACAAGCUUAAAUUCAACCAAAAACUUUAUGGUGUGAUCUCAAAUCUGUGUGCACACUCACAUCCUAGCACACGAUUUUCUGAAACCACAUUACACAAUCUGAUCUACAGAACUACGCAACCACUGGAAUUUUUAAUUGAGAGACAACUAAUUUCUCAUUGUUUGAUUCAUCAUGUUUACAUGGCCUAUCCUAGAGAGACUAACAUUGUUCUUUGGUUUGGUUGA